This 549-nucleotide long non-coding RNA is filed under the name Pan troglodytes (chimpanzee). RNAcentral describes it as "long non-coding RNA NONPTRT017695". The record is from RNAcentral. Lineage: Eukaryota; Metazoa; Chordata; Mammalia; Primates; Hominidae.
CUGGGGAGCCCUGAGGUGCAUGGAAGUGGGGGACUGGCGUCUCUCGAUUCCCGGGCAGCCCCAGCCAUACUCUAGCAUCCUGCCUGGCUGGGUGGAGUGUGUCUCUUGGGUCACACGGAUGCCUGCUGAGGAUGCCCAGUACCGAGGGCCGGUGCCCCGCCCCGCAGUGCCCUCGGCCUGAUUCAGAGCCCACCCCUGGGAGGAGCCCCAACUCCAGGAGGGUUGGGCUGGGGCUUGGAGGUCCUAGCCACAGAGUGACAGGAUGGGGACGAGGCCUAGGGGCCUUGGGGCCAGGAGGGUACCCCCGUGAGGGCCUGGGCUCCUGGGUAAACAUUAAUGGGCUCAGUACCCAGCAGGUCAUGUGCGCGAUCAGGGGAUCUUUGACCUGCAACUGCUCCCGCCCCAUGUCUCCUCCCUGCAGGUGCCCCCUCACCACCCACACAGCCUUCCAGUCAGGACCAGCAAGGGAGCCGGGGAGCUGGAGCCCCUUCGAGUCUACCCGAAACUGGACUGGGCUCGCCUGGCAACUGCCUGAGGUCAUUGCAGCAA